Molecule: ribosomal RNA, 468 nt
Filed under: uncultured bacterium
Lineage: Bacteria
Description: partial 16S ribosomal RNA
Rfam family: Bacterial small subunit ribosomal RNA
Source: RNAcentral
GACGAACGCUGGCGGCGUGCUUAACACAUGCAAGUCGAACGGAAAGGCCCUGCUUUUGUGGGGUGCUCGAGUGGCGAACGGGUGAGUAACACGUGAGUAACCUGCCCUUGACUUUGGGAUAACUUCAGGAAACUGGGGCUAAUACCGGAUAGGAGCUCCUGCUGCAUGGUGGGGGUUGGAAAGUUUCGGCGGUUGGGGAUGGACUCGCGGCUUAUCAGCUUGUUGGUGGGGUAGUGGCUUACCAAGGCUUUGACGGGUAGCCGGCCUGAGAGGGUGGCCGGCGACAAUGGGACUGAGAGACGGCCCAGACUCCUACGGGAGGCAGCAGUGGAGAAUAUUGCACAAUGGGCGGGAGCCUGAUGCAGCGGCGCCGCGUGCGGGAUGACGGCCUUCGAGUUGUAAACCGCUUUCGCCGGUGACGAAGCGUGAGUGACGGUAAUGGGUAAAGAAGCAACGGCUAACUACGUG